GGUGGCUCAGUGGUAGAGCGCUUGCCUUGCAUGCAUGAGGUCCUGAGUUCGAUUCCCAGUACCA
This 64-nucleotide transfer RNA is filed under the name Dipodomys ordii (Ord's kangaroo rat). It matches the Rfam family "tRNA". From Rfam's summary of the family: Transfer RNA (tRNA) molecules are approximately 80 nucleotides in length. Their secondary structure includes four short double-helical elements and three loops (D, anti-codon, and T loops). The record is from Rfam by way of RNAcentral. Lineage: Eukaryota; Metazoa; Chordata; Mammalia; Rodentia; Heteromyidae.